This 216-nucleotide ribosomal RNA is filed under the name Glomeromycotina sp. Its description in RNAcentral is "partial small subunit ribosomal RNA". The stretch from base 40 to 216 matches the Rfam family "Eukaryotic small subunit ribosomal RNA", at positions 686 to 864 of the family's 1831-position model. The record is from RNAcentral. Lineage: Eukaryota; Fungi; Glomeromycota.
GGGUCAGUAGGUUGGUCGUGCCACCGGUACGUACUGGUCUCACUGAUUCCUCCCUCCUGAAGAACCGUAAUGUCAUUAAUUUGGUGUUGCGGGGAAACAGGACUGUUACUUUGAAAAAAUUAGAGUGUUUAAAGCAAGCUAACGCUUGAAUACAUUAGCAUGGAAUAAUGAAAUAGGACGAUCGAUCCUAUUUUGUUGGUCUCUAGGAUUGACGUA